This 254-nucleotide ribosomal RNA is filed under the name uncultured bacterium. RNAcentral describes it as "partial 16S ribosomal RNA". It matches the Rfam family "Bacterial small subunit ribosomal RNA", at positions 524 to 776 of the family's 1533-position model. The record is from RNAcentral.
UACGUAGGGACCGAGCGUUGUCCGGAAUCAUUGGGCGUAAAGAGCGUGUAGGCGGCCACUUAAGUCCUGCGUGAAAUCUUGCGGCUCAACCGCAAGCGGUCGUGGGAAACUGGGUGGCUAGAGUGCGGGAGAGGAGAGUGGAAUUCCUGGUGUAGCGGUGGAAUGCGCAGAUAUCAGGAAGAACACCCGUGGCGAAGGCGGCUCUCUGGAACGCAACUGACGCUGAAGACGCGAAAGCGUGGGGAGCAAACAGG